CCCUCUUUACACCCACCAUCUUCUGGGGGAGAAAAGUCUUGGAUUUUCUUUAUAAUUUUUUUUUCUGUCUCUCUCUUUUGUUUGGUUUUUGUUUUUCGGUGUUUUGCCUUUUUUUGUUUUGGGUUGUGUUUUAGGUUAUUCUCUCCUCUCUCUCUCUCUCUCUCUCUCUCUCUCUCUCUCUCUCUCUCUCUCUCCUCAGUGAUAGGGAGAAAGAUCUCUUUGGCUAACCGAGCUUGCAGACAGUGAACCCGCCUUCCACGUUGGUGUGAAGACAGAAGUGAGGUGGGGGGCAGGGAGGGGAUGUGAGAGAGUCUAAGAGCGAGAGGGAUCAGAGAGAGAGAAAGAGAGAGAGAGAGAGGAGGAGGAGGCGGCGGAGGAGGAGGACUGGUGUAGGGUGGAAAGGAAGAGUGAGCGCGAGCAAGUUGAAGGGAGGGGGUGUAAGAGCCAGCGAAUUCUUUUUCUUUUUCUGUUAUUAUUUUGACGACUCCCGAGUUGCGCCCAUGCUCUUGUCAGCUUCGUUUUAGGCGUAGCAUGGCCAGGCAGAAGAAAAUGGGGCAAAGCAUGCUCCAGGCGGUCUUCUUUUUAGUCCUGGGGCUUUUGGGUCAUUCUCACGGAGGAUUCCCCAACACCAUCAGCAUAGGUGGACUUUUCAUGAGAAAUACGGUGCAGGAGCACAGCGCUUUCCGCUUUGCCGUGCAGUUAUACAACACCAACCAGAACACCACGGAGAAGCCCUUCCAUUUGAAUUACCACGUAGAUCACUUGGAUUCCUCCAAUAGUUUUUCUGUGACUAAUGCUUUCUGCUCCCAGUUCUCGAGAGGGGUGUAUGCCAUCUUUGGAUUUUAUGACCAGAUGUCAAUGAACACUCUGACCUCCUUCUGUGGGGCCCUGCACACGUCUUUUGUCACCCCCAGCUUUCCCACUGAUGCAGAUGUGCAGUUUGUCAUCCAGAUGCGCCCAGCGUUGAAGGGUGCUAUUCUGAGUCUUCUGGGUCACUACAAGUGGGAGAAGUUUGUGUAUCUCUAUGACACAGAAAGAGGAUUUUCCAUCCUCCAAGCAAUUAUGGAAGCAGCAGUGCAAAACAACUGGCAAGUGACAGCAAGGUCUGUGGGAAACAUAAAGGACGUCCAAGAAUUCAGGCGCAUCAUUGAAGAAAUGGACAGGAGACAGGAAAAGCGAUACCUGAUUGACUGCGAAGUCGAAAGGAUUAACACAAUUUUGGAACAGGUUGUGAUCCUGGGGAAACAUUCAAGAGGUUAUCACUACAUGCUUGCUAACCUGGGUUUUACCGACAUUUUGCUAGAAAGAGUCAUGCAUGGAGGAGCUAACAUUACAGGAUUCCAGAUUGUCAACAAUGAAAACCCUAUGGUUCAGCAGUUCAUACAGCGCUGGGUGAGGCUGGAUGAAAGGGAAUUCCCUGAAGCCAAGAAUGCACCACUAAAGUAUACAUCUGCGUUGACGCACGAUGCAAUAUUAGUCAUAGCAGAAGCUUUCCGCUAUCUGAGGAGGCAGCGAGUGGAUGUGUCCCGGAGAGGCAGUGCUGGAGACUGCUUAGCAAAUCCUGCUGUGCCCUGGAGUCAAGGAAUUGAUAUCGAGAGAGCUCUGAAAAUGGUGCAAGUACAGGGAAUGACUGGAAACAUCCAAUUUGACACUUAUGGACGUAGAACAAAUUAUACUAUCGAUGUGUAUGAAAUGAAAGUCACUGGUUCUCGAAAAGCUGGCUACUGGAAUGAGUAUGAAAGGUUUGUGCCUUUCUCAGAUCAGCAAAUCAGUAAUGACAGUGCAUCCUCAGAGAACCGGACCAUAGUGGUGACUACCAUUCUGGAAUCACCAUAUGUAAUGUAUAAGAAGAACCAUGAGCAACUGGAAGGAAAUGAGCGAUAUGAAGGCUAUUGUGUAGACUUAGCUUAUGAAAUAGCCAAACAUGUAAGGAUCAAGUACAAAUUGUCCAUUGUCGCCGACGGGAAAUAUGGUGCAAGGGAUCCGGAGACUAAAAUAUGGAAUGGCAUGGUUGGAGAACUUGUCUAUGGGAGGGCUGAUAUAGCUGUUGCUCCACUCACUAUAACCCUGGUCCGUGAAGAAGUCAUCGAUUUCUCAAAGCCAUUUAUGAGCCUGGGCAUCUCCAUCAUGAUAAAGAAGCCUCAGAAAUCAAAACCAGGAGUGUUCUCAUUUCUGGAUCCCUUGGCUUAUGAAAUCUGGAUGUGCAUUGUCUUCGCUUACAUUGGUGUCAGUGUAGUUCUUUUCCUAGUCAGCAGAUUCAGCCCUUAUGAAUGGCACUUGGAAGACAACAAUGAAGAACCUCGUGACCCACAAAGCCCUCCUGAUCCUCCAAAUGAAUUUGGGAUAUUCAACAGUCUUUGGUUUUCCUUGGGUGCCUUUAUGCAGCAAGGAUGUGAUAUUUCUCCAAGGUCACUCUCUGGGCGCAUUGUUGGAGGGGUUUGGUGGUUCUUCACCCUGAUCAUAAUUUCUUCCUAUACUGCCAAUCUCGCUGCUUUCUUGACUGUGGAGAGGAUGGUUUCUCCCAUAGAGAGUGCUGAAGACUUAGCUAAGCAGACUGAAAUUGCAUAUGGGACCCUGGACUCUGGAUCAACAAAAGAAUUUUUCAGAAGGUCCAAAAUUGCUGUUUAUGAGAAAAUGUGGUCUUACAUGAAAUCAGCAGAGCCAUCUGUGUUUACCAAAACAACAGCAGACGGCGUGGCCCGAGUGCGGAAGUCCAAGGGAAAGUUCGCCUUCCUGCUGGAGUCAACCAUGAAUGAGUACAUUGAGCAGAGAAAACCAUGUGAUACGAUGAAAGUUGGUGGAAAUCUGGAUUCCAAAGGCUAUGGUGUGGCAACCCCUAAAGGCUCAGCAUUAAGAACGCCUGUAAACCUUGCAGUAUUGAAACUCAGUGAACAAGGCAUCUUAGACAAGCUGAAAAACAAAUGGUGGUACGAUAAGGGGGAAUGUGGAGCCAAGGACUCCGGGAGUAAGGACAAGACCAGCGCUCUGAGCCUGAGCAAUGUGGCAGGCGUUUUCUAUAUACUUGUCGGAGGUCUGGGGCUGGCCAUGAUGGUGGCUUUGAUAGAAUUCUGUUACAAAUCACGGGCAGAGUCCAAACGCAUGAAACUUACAAAGAACACCCAAAACUUUAAGCCUGCUCCUGCCACCAACACUCAAAAUUAUGCUACAUACAGAGAAGGCUACAACGUGUAUGGAACAGAGAGUGUUAAGAUCUAGGGGCAAAUGGAUUUCAAUCGAGCAAGCCACAGAACACUAUUUACCCUCUGUACCAGAUCCCUUCCCAUUAGAGGCAUGUGAGGAGAGGAAUCACCGAAAACGUGGCUGCUUCAAGGAUCCUGAGCCAGAUUUCACUCUCCUUGGUGUCGGGCAUGACACGAAUAUUGCUGAUGGUGCAAUGACCUUUCAAUAGGAAAAACUGAUUUUUUUUUCCUUCAGUGCCUUAUGGAACACUCUGAGACUUGCAACAAUACAAACCAUCAUUGAAAUCUUUUUGCUUUGCUUGAGAAAAAUUUAAAAAAAAAAACAAAAAAAAAUGGACAUGCAAGAUUCCAGUAUGUGAAAAAAAAAUCUUACUAAAAAAAAGUCAAUUCAACAAAAGCCAUUCUUUGAUACCACUGCACAGUACUUAAACACCAUGUUCUUUAAUACACACACACAAAUUUAAAAUUCCAGUUCAGCAAAUAGGCCCAUCUUAGCUAAAAUAAUUUCUCCUGAUAAAAAUUCUUUGACUCCCUGUGUGUGGGAAGACAGACUGGCAUUUGUUCUAGGAUCUGCUGACCAGAUGUUUUUGGUAUUUCCUGUUGGUGAUGAAGUUC
RNA transcript from Myotis myotis, 3815 nucleotides. It is a transcript of the gene named glutamate ionotropic receptor AMPA type subunit 3, with no coding region annotated. The record is from RefSeq and is a predicted model, not a curated record. The transcript is spliced from 17 exons. NCBI's taxonomy places the organism in Eukaryota, Metazoa, Chordata, Mammalia, Chiroptera, Vespertilionidae.